Molecule: ribosomal RNA, 651 nt
Filed under: uncultured bacterium
Lineage: Bacteria
Description: bacterial SSU rRNA
Rfam family: Bacterial small subunit ribosomal RNA
Source: RNAcentral
CUGGCGGCGUGCCUAAUACUGCAAGUCGAGCGGACCGAAAGGAGAGCUCGCUCUCCUUUCGGUCAGCGGCGGACGGGUGAGUAACACGUGGGUAACCUGCCUGUAAGACCGGGAUAACUCGCGGAAACGCGAGCUAAUACCGGAUAGGUCCCGUGGCCGCAUGGCGACGGGAGGAAAGAUGGCGCGAGCUAUCGCUUACAGAUGGGCCCGCGGCGCAUUAGCUAGUUGGUGGGGUAACGGCCCACCAAGGCGACGAUGCGUAGCCGACCUGAGAGGGUGAUCGGCCACAUUGGGACUGAGACACGGCCCAAACUCCUACGGGAGGCAGCAGUAGGGAAUCUUCCGCAAUGGGCGAAAGCCUGACGGAGCAACGCCGCGUGAGCGAAGAAGGCCUUCGGGUCGUAAAGCUCUGUUGUCAGGGAAGAACAAGUACCGGAGUAACUGCCGGUACCUUGACGGUACCUGACCAGAAAGCCCCGGCUAACUACGUGCCAGCAGCCGCGGUAAUACGUAGGGGGCGAGCGUUGUCCGGAAUCAUUGGGCGUAAAGCGCGCGCAGGCGGUCCCUUAAGUCUGAUGUGAAAUCUUGCGGCUCAACCGCAAGGGGUCAUUGGAAACUGGGGGACUUGAGUGCAGGAGAGGGAAGCGGAAU